This 402-nucleotide ribosomal RNA is filed under the name uncultured Massilia sp. Its description in RNAcentral is "bacterial SSU rRNA". It matches the Rfam family "Bacterial small subunit ribosomal RNA", at positions 1 to 409 of the family's 1533-position model. Lineage: Bacteria; Pseudomonadati; Pseudomonadota; Betaproteobacteria; Burkholderiales; Oxalobacteraceae. The record is from RNAcentral.
UAGUGAGUUUGAUCCUGGCUCAGAACGAACGCUGGCGGCAUGCUUUACACAUGCAAGUCGAACGGCAGCGCGGGGCAACCUGGCGGCGAGUGGCGAACGGGUGAGUAAUAUAUCGGAACGUACCCAGAAGUGGGGGAUAACGUAGCGAAAGUUACGCUAAUACCACAUACGAUCUACGGAUGAAAGUGGGGGACCUUCGGGCCUCAUGCUUUUGGAGCGGCCGAUAUCUGAUUAGCUAGUUGGUGAGGUAAAGGCUCACCAAGGCGACGAUCAGUAGCUGGUCUGAGAGGACGACCAGCCACACUGGAACUGAGACACGGCCCAGACUCCUACGGGGAGGCAGCAGUGGGGAAUAUUGGACAAUGGGGCGCAAGCCUGACGGAGCAAGACCGCGUGAGGGAG